Molecule: long non-coding RNA, 507 nt
Organism: Fukomys damarensis (Damara mole-rat)
Lineage: Eukaryota; Metazoa; Chordata; Mammalia; Rodentia; Bathyergidae
Exons: 3
Source: RefSeq, a predicted model, not a curated record
ACAACUUAUAACAGAACCUUUAUUUUGCCUCACAGUCUCAGAGGUUUUGGUCUAUGAAUGGGUGGCCUGGUGUCUUUUAGGCCUGUGGUGGCACAGUGAAUAGGUGCAGGAGCACAUAUUAGAGAAGGCUGCUUACCUUAUGACAGCUGGGAAGUAAAAGGAGAGGACUGGAGUCCCUAAAGCUCCCUUAAAGGCCACACCCUCAAGGACCUCACUUCCUCCCAUUAGGCCCUGCCUCCUGAAGAUUCCACCAUUUCCCAAUAACUCUAUAGAAUGAAAAAGUUUCAGCCUAUAGGGCUUUGGGAUGCAUUUAAGAUCCAAACCAUAACAAAGUCACAUUCAGAGAGCAAGUAAGAAUGAAGGUGAAGGUUACCCUAAAAGAGACCCGGCUCCUGGUGAUAUAUGUACUCACCCCAUUGCAAGCCCACAAAGUGACGGAUCAGUAGGUUUGCAAAUCUCCAGCGGUCUGCUGUUUCCAUUAGACAGUGUUGCAAGAUUAAACACAGG